UGGGGAAUAUUGGACAAUGGGCGAAAGCCUGAUCCAGCCAUGCCGCGUGUGUGAAGAAGGUCUUCGGAUUGUAAAGCACUUUAAGUUGGGAGGAAGGGCAGUAAGCGAAUACCUUGCUGUUUUGACGUUACUGACAGAAUAAGCACCGGCUAACUCUGUGCCAGCAGCCGCGGUAAUACAGAGGGUGCAAGCGUUAAUCGGAAUUACUGGGCGUAAAGCGCGCGUAGGUGGUUCGUUAAGUUGAAUGUGAAAGCCCCGGGCUCGACCUGGGAACUGCAUCCAAAACUGGCGAGCUAGAGUAGGGCAGAGGGUGGUGGAAUUUCCUGUGUAGCGGUGAAAUGCGUAGAUAUAGGAAGGAACACCAGUGGCGAAGGCGACCACCUGGGCUCAUACUGACACUGAGGUGCGAAAGCGUGGGGAGCAAACAGG
This 429-nucleotide ribosomal RNA is filed under the name Pseudomonadota bacterium. Its description in RNAcentral is "Proteobacteria bacterium partial 16S ribosomal RNA". It matches the Rfam family "Bacterial small subunit ribosomal RNA", at positions 355 to 776 of the family's 1533-position model. The record is from RNAcentral. Lineage: Bacteria; Pseudomonadati; Pseudomonadota.